Molecule: ribosomal RNA, 253 nt
Filed under: uncultured bacterium
Lineage: Bacteria
Description: partial 16S ribosomal RNA
Rfam family: Bacterial small subunit ribosomal RNA
Source: RNAcentral
AACGUAGGAGACAAACGUUAUCCGGAGUUACUGGGCGUAAAGGGCGUGUAGGCGGUUUGUUAAGUCUGGCGUGAAAGCUCUCGGCUAAACCGGGAGAGGUCGUUGGAUACUGGCAAACUUGAGGACGGUAGAGGCGUGUGGAAUUCCGGGUGUAGUGGUGAAAUGCGUAGAGAUCCGGAGGAAGACCGGUGGCGAAGGCGGCCUGCUGGGCAGUUACUGACACUGAUGCGCGACAGCGUGGGGAGCAAACAGG